Molecule: ribosomal RNA, 478 nt
Filed under: uncultured bacterium
Lineage: Bacteria
Description: partial 16S ribosomal RNA
Rfam family: Bacterial small subunit ribosomal RNA
Source: RNAcentral
GAUGAACGCUCGCGGGAGGCCUAACACAUGCAAGCCGAGCGGUAUUUGUUCUUCGGAACAGAGAGAGCGGCGCACGGGUGCGGAACACGUGUGCAACCUGCCUUUAUCUGGGGGAUAGCCUUUCGAAAGGAAGAUUAAUACCCCAUAAUAUAUUGAGUGGCAUCAUUUGAUAUUGAAAACUCCGGUGGAUAGAGAUGGGCACGCGCAAGAUUAGAUAGUUGGUGAGGUAACGGCUCACCAAGUCAAUGAUCUUUAGGGGGCCUGAGAGGGUGAUCCCCCACACUGGUACUGAGACACGGACCAGACUCCUACGGGAGGCAGCAGUGAGGAAUAUUGGACAAUGGGUUAGCGCCUGAUCCAGCCAUCCCGCGUGAAGGACGACGGCCCUAUGGGGUGUAAACUUCUUUUGUAUAGGGAUAAACCUACUCUCGUGAGAGUAGCUGAAGGUACUAUACGAAUAAGCACCGGCUAACUCCGU